AUGAUAUGCUGCUGCUCAUGCCAAAGGUUGUGAUACAUUUUUUUAUGAUAGUAUGAAUUGAUUGAUGAUGCAUCACAAGUAGCACAAGUUCUGCAGUAUCCAUUUCAGUAAGAAGUUUGCAUUGAGUAAUUCUUUUCAAGAAGAAGCUUACCAUGCACAACUAGCUAGCGAAUACUUCAUUCUUCGGUGGAAGACAUAGCAUAUAAUUACCUUGAGCACAUCAAUACAAGAUUUUCUAGCAUCAAGUAUUGUUCAUGGUUCACUCAUAAUGUGUGUUCUGUCCACUUUUCAACUUAAUUUUAUUAAGAUUUCUGGUUAUCACUGCAGGAGUUGCACCAGAGUCAAUGAGGGUAGUCUGCAUUGCAGACUGUGUUAACUAUUCCAGAUUUUAUCAACAUUAAAUUGUGCAUUGCCAUUGCCAUUUCCAUUUCUUGCAUCACCUACCUUGAAGUUGAGAGGAUUGAUUUUUUCUGUAAUUGUUCAAUUGGAAGUAAAAAAUCAACUCUGCAUGCUUACAUGAAGCUAGAUUCCUGAAAAAUAGUUGUUUUCGCACAGUAUAUCAGUAUUUUGUUUCCCGAUCUAAAAAAGAUGUGUCUGAGCCUGACACAAGAGUUUGGCUAAUCUGCAGUAUGACUCAUUAGUAGUAUUUUCUUAGACAUGUUGAAUCAUUCCUCUAUCCCAGUAUUCAAAAUUUACAUAUUGUGAUAUUGUCACAACUGUCAAGUGUAGGUUCCACAACCAAGCAGAAGUUGUCACCAAAGGUCAAGAUGGAAAUAGGUAAAACCGGUAUUUACAUGUUACACAUCCGCAGCUGUAGGAUGAACUGCCAUGGACUCCUGACCAACUAUCCCACACAUACGACUCUUUAAAAGGAUGUUCUUCCUCUAUCUCUCCAUGUCGUGUUUUAUUCCAUCCCAGACUUCAUGGUUCCAUCCGUACUGGAUUCCCAACAAGGAGAACGUGAUUCGGUCCAUCUAUGCCUUCCCCUUAUCAUAUUCAAGGUUUUGCAUUACAGGAUGAUUGAUGCGUCCGAUGAGGAUCCACAAUAAUGUGAAGUAAGGAGGCGACAUCGGUAGUUGAGGCUGUCAAGUGGAGGAAUAUGUUGGAUUGGUGGUGGCACGCAAAUCACACUCUAAAUCCAAUUGGAGUUCAUCUAUUCUACCAUCGCCCCACGCCGUCGCACUUCUCCUUACCAGAUUACACGAUGGAGGGAGGGGGGAACCAGCUGGGGCGGUCUGCAGUCUGCAAAGUCUAAAGUUGAACCCUGCACGGACAUCUCGCCGAUGCCGACAAUAUUUGGUUUGGUUUCAGUGAGCACGUGCUUGAACGCCUCAAAUUUUCUUGAUAUGUCCCUACAGUUAAGGCUGGCUCCUUGACGCUCCUGCAGGCUACCAGGAAGGACCUAUUCAAUUGUGUUGGUUGUUGUGUUCGUUCUAAUGGGAUACAAGUCACAUGGCGUGAUGGACAUCAGGUGUGCAGAAAUAUGUUUGUGCUUUGAUAGUUUCCUGAUAUGCGCACAUGUGUUUUUAAUACUUCCCCUUGGAUUAUAGGAAUUAGACUUGUGAUGGAAAUCAGACAGGCAGAAAUAUGUUUGCUGUAAAUAGAGUAUAAGAGCUCCUAUGAAUUAAUAUGUUUAGAAGUUCAAUGAUCGAUCUCAUCUUAUUAGUAACUGAGUUAAGCAACAGGCAUAUGUACUAUCAGUUUUUAUGUCUGACGCUCUUGCCUUCCAUACGUACUGAAUUAACAAAAUUCCUAUGUUCAGGAGGCGAUGCAGCGCUGGAAAAAACUCAUCGUAGUAAUUAGCUAAUUAUUGUAUAUUGUCAGUUAUACUUCUCUUCAUAUAUACUAUGACAUCAUUUUUCCCUCUCUAUCUGCUAACAUGAAAUUUGUAUACAGAUAAACAGAGCUAUCACUAUAGACGCAUAACGAACUUCUCAUAUUUACAUGGUUGAGUAUAAAUGUAUGUCCAAGUAUUUGUAUAGUUCAAUGUUACGUGAGUAAAUAUACAUCUUACACCAAAA
Triticum aestivum (bread wheat) is the source of this 2021-nucleotide long non-coding RNA. RefSeq lists it as uncharacterized. The transcript is spliced from 2 exons. Lineage: Eukaryota; Viridiplantae; Streptophyta; Magnoliopsida; Poales; Poaceae. The record is from RefSeq and is a predicted model, not a curated record.